Molecule: small RNA, 666 nt
Filed under: Pongo abelii (Sumatran orangutan)
Lineage: Eukaryota; Metazoa; Chordata; Mammalia; Primates; Hominidae
Description: processed transcript
Source: RNAcentral
AAUAUGAAGUCAGUUCCGGUUGGUGUAAAACCCCCGGGGCGGCGGUGAACUGGCUUCAGAUGCUUCUGGGUCGCGGUGUGCUGAGCUAGGAGUCCGAGUGUGUGAGCUUGAGAGCCGCGCGCUAGGGCGACCCGGCGAGGGAUGGCGGCCACCGGGACCGCGGCUGCCGCAGCCACGGGCAGGCUCCUGCUUCUGCUGCUGGUGGGGCUCACGGCGCCUGCCUCGGCGCUGGCCGGCUACAUCGAGUAGAGACAGGGUUUCACCGUGUUAGCCAGGAUGGUCUCGAUCUCCUGACCUCGUGAUCCGCCUGCCUCGGCCUCCCAAAGUGCUGGGAUUAUAGGCGUGAGCCACCAUGCCCGGCCCUGGUGUGUUUAGAAUAAUACACUUUUCAGGCUCUUGCAGCCAAUGCCGGAACAGGAUUUGCUGUUGCUGAGCCUCAAAUCGCAAUGUUUUGUGGGAAGUUAAAUAUGCAUGUGAACAUUCAGACCGGGAAAUGGGAACCUGAUCCAACAGGCACCAAGAGCUGCUUUGAAACAAAAGAAGAAGUUCUUCAGUACUGUCAGGAGAUGUAUCCAGAGCUACAGAUCACAAAUGUGAUGGAGGCAAACCAGCGGGUCAGUAUUGACAAUUGGUGCCGGAGGGACAAAAAGCAAUGCAAGAGUCGCU